AGUCUGGUGCCAGCAGCCGCGUUAAUUCCAGCUCUGAUAGUAUAUAUUAAAGUUGUUGCAGUUUAAAAGCUCGUAGUUGAAACUUGGGUGCGUAGGGGCGGUCUCUUUUAGAGUACUACCCUGAAACAUCUUUCUUUGGUGUAAACUUUCUAUUUAUUUAGGAAGUGUAAACCAAACAUUUACUUUGAAAAAAUUAGAGUGUUCAAAGCAGGCCUUUGCUCGAAUAUAUUAGCAUGGAAUAAUAGAAUAGGACGUAUGGUUCUAUUUUGUUGGUUUCUAGGACCGUCGUAAUGAUUAAUAGGGACGGUCGGGGGCAUCAGUAUUCAGUUGUCAGAGGUGAAAUUCUUGGAUUUACUGAAGACUAACUACUGCGAAAGCAUUUGCCAAGGACGUUUUCAUUAAUCAAGAACGAAAGUUAGGGGAUCGAAGACGAUCAGAUACCGUCGUAGUCUUAACCGUAAACUAUGCCGACUAGGGAUCGGAGGGCGUUAUAAUAACCUCUCCGGCACCUUACGAGAAAUCAAAGUUUUUGGGUUCUGGGGGGAGUAUGGUUGCAAGGCUGAAACUUAAAGGAAUUGACGGAAGGGCACCACCAGGAGUGGAGCCUGCGGCUUAAUUUGACCCAACACGGGGAAACUCACCAGGUCCAGACACAAUAAGGAUUGACAGAUUGAGAGCUCUUUCAUGAUUUUGUGGGUGGUGGUGCAUGGCCGUUCUUAGUUGGUGGAGUGAUUUGUCUGCUUAAUUGCGAUAACGAACGAGACCUUAACCUGCUAAAUAGCUGUAACAAUAGAUUAUUGUUUUGACAGCUUCUUAGAGGGACUAUCGAUUUUCAAGUCGAUGGAAGUUUGAGGCAAUAACAGGUCUGUGAUGCCCUUAGACGUUCUGGGCCGCACGCGCGCUACACUGACGGAGCCAGCGAGUCUAACCUGUGCCGAGAGGUAUGGGUAAUCUUGUGAAACUCCGUCGUGCUGGGGAUAGAGCAUUGCAAUUAUUGCUCUUCAACGAGGAAUUCCUAGUAAGCGCAAGUCAUCAGCUUGCGUUGAUUACGUCCCUGCCCUUUGUACACACCGCCCGUCGCUACUACCGAUUGAAUGGCUUAGUGAGGCUUCCGGAUUGAUUAACUGGAGAGGGCAACUUUUCUGGUUGAACGAGAAGCUAGUCAAACUUGGUCAUUUAGA
This 1181-nucleotide ribosomal RNA is filed under the name metagenome. RNAcentral describes it as "SSU rRNA". It matches the Rfam family "Eukaryotic small subunit ribosomal RNA", at positions 558 to 1777 of the family's 1831-position model. The record is from RNAcentral.